UAGCUUAAAAUUGAAAGUAAGUUCUGCCCAAUGAUUAGGUUUAAAUGGCUGCAGUAUAUUGACUGUGCAAAGGUAGCAUAAUAGUUAGUCUUUUAAUUGGGGACUGGUAUGAAUGAAUACAUGAGAAAUUUCUUUUAUUAUGAUUAUUUUUAAAAUUUAAUUUUUAAGUAAGAAAGCUUAAUUAAUUUUUUGGGACGAGAAGACCCUAUAGAACUUUAAUUUCCUUUUUUAUAAUUUAUUUUUAGUUAAUUAUUUUUCAUAAUUUCGGUAUUUUUUAUUGGGGUGAUAAAUAAAUGUAACUUUAUUUUUUUUAUUCAUUUAUUUAUGUUUAUGUUGAUCCUGUAUUAAUAGAUUAUAAGAUUUAGUUACCUUAGGGAUAACAGCGUAAUUUUUGUGGAAAGUUCAUAUUUAUAUAAAAGUUUGCGACCUCGAUGUUGAAUUAAGAUAAGAUUAUGGAGCAG
RNAcentral lists this ribosomal RNA (461 nucleotides) under Diestostemma excisum. RNAcentral's name for it is "partial 16S ribosomal RNA". The record is from RNAcentral. Lineage: Eukaryota; Metazoa; Arthropoda; Insecta; Hemiptera; Cicadellidae.